CUCCGCCGAAGAGAAGCCACAGGAGGGAUACGUCUUCAUCAAGGGCUUCCCCGUUCACGAUAACGACGCCGCGAUUCAAGAGGCCAAGAGCCUUAACGCGAUUCGAACCGCGCUUGAGCACCUCGAAGACCAGCUCGAGUUCUUCCAUGUGAGUUUUGGAUUCGAUUCUAUUGGAUUCUCUGAUGUGCGCGAAAUUGAGAGAUUCGCUGGCCGAUUUCGAAUCUUUACUUUAGUUAGGCUUUAGGAAUAUGAAAUUAUUAUUAGCUUAAGUGCUGUUCGUUUGGUUGAAGCAGCUACCUGCGGCUGCGUCGGUGUCAAUUUUUUUAAUAAAUUCUUGUUCGUUUCAUUGAUGCCGUACUGCGUCUAAACGCUGCGUCUUCGUGUCGAUUGUCGAAAAAAUCUGCAUCUGCGAUUAAAACUGCGUCGGCGUCUACGAAACGAACAACAACUAUUUUCAUUAGCUCUGUUCUUUUCAUGGACGCAGCGUCGGCGACUGCGGCGAAAAAUUAACAAACAAGAAAAAGCAAUCUAAGUGCAGGGUCGUUAUACAUCUCCCGCCGGCGGCUGCCGCUACUCGUAUUUUCCGUGUUUCAUCAUCGCUGGAUUUAUCAGCGUCUCCUAAACAUACGUUGACGUGUAGCUCGCGUCAAUUAUUAACAUCCUUCAACUUUCUGUUUUAACUUGUUGCUGACGUGUCAUGUUUAAUCCUCUUAUAUUUUUGUGUCAUAGACGCGGACGCUGCGUCCAGUAAAAGAACAGAGCUAUUCACGCCGACGCCGAAAACUGCGGCAACCAAACGAACAUGACUUUAUUCUUUUUCUUUGCCAUUCAUAGAGGUUCUGUUCUGCUGGUCAGUUUCUUUAUGUUCGUUCAGUUUAUAACUUGAUCCUGACAUUUUUGAAAGAUAAUGUCUCAGACGAUACAUACACAGCAACGAACAGAGAGGGAUGUAGCAGUUGCUCGGCUUGAACAAAGCAGGAUGUUACUAGCAAAGCGAUUGGCUGAACACCACGGCAAGAGCUACGGAGUUCUAGAUGAAACUCUUGCCUUCGUUGGGAGCAUUAAAACCUCCACAAAUUACGUUUACAACUCCUCUCCAAACACAGCCGGGGCAUACUCUUAUAUAUGUGUGUGUUUUAUUUAUGGUAUGUACAGUCAGUGGCGAAGCCGGUGCAUGAACAGAGUGGGCAUGCACAUCCGUAAUUUUAGAGCAAUAUUAUUAGUGGGAUGAAGAGUGAGAAAGAGAAUCCUUUGUUUUUUUUUUUUUUUUUUUUUUUGGUCGUUGGAGAGUAAAAGACAUUCCUUAAUUAGGGGUUUUUUCCUUCUUUUUCUUCUUCGGUUUUCACCCUCUUUAGAGAUUUCUCUAAAGAAUGUCUUAACGGACUCCCAAUGUUGCUCUUAGCCUCGAGACCAACGCGGAUGACACUUUUGGGCCUGUCAUUGAACGCCUCAGUAGAGAGAGCCCAAACAAAUUAACAAACUUGGAGAAACGCGUCGCUCGCACACUCGAUAAACAAACACGUGCAUAGUCCGUGCCGGAUAAACCGUUAUAGCAUUUCCGGGUCGGGUCGCGUUUCGGAAAAUCAAAAUCACCGGAGCGAUAGUUUCACUCAGUCCACAAUUAAAGUUUACCCGAAGAAGAAGAAGUCCUUUUUCCCUCUUUUUAUCUUUCUCUCUUUUUUUUUCUUUUGUAUGGUAAUGAAAUGGGAGAGAUGGAGAUGGAAGAAAUCGAAGCAGUUCUGGAGAAAAUCUGCGAUCUGCACGACAAGCUCAGCGACGAGAUUCACAUGAUUUCGCGCUCUCACUUCCUCAAAUCCGUUAAACCAGCAACCAGAUCGGAGAAGAGGAAGAGCCAGGGCAUCAACUCCGCCGAAGAGAAGCCACAGGAGGGAUACGUCUUCAUCAAGGGCUUCCCCGUUAACGAUAACGACGCCGCGAUUCAAGAGGCCAAGAGCCUUAACGCGAUUCGAACCGCGCUUGAGCACCUCGAAGACCAGCUCGAGUUCUUCCAUGUGAGUUUUGGAUUCGAUUCUAUUGGAUUCUCUGAUGUGCGCGAAAUUGAGAGAUUCGCUGGCCGAUUUCGAAUCUUUACUUUAGUUAGGCUUUAGGAAUAUGAAAUUAUUAUUAGCUUAAGUGCUGUUCGUUUGGUUGAAGCAGCUACCUGCGGCUGCGUCGGUGUCAAUUUUUUUAAUAAAUUCUUGUUCGUUUCAUUGAUGCCGUACUGCGUCUAAACGCUGCGUCUUCGUGUCGAUUGUCGAAAAAAUCUGCAUCUGCGAUUAAAACUGCGUCGGCGUCUACGAAACGAACAACAACUAUUUUCAUUAGCUCUGUUCUUUUCAUGGACGCAGCGUCGGCGACUGCGGCGAAAAAUUAACAAACAAGAAAAAGCAAUCUAAGUGCAGGGUCGUUAUACAUCUCCCGCCGGCGGCUGCCGCUACUCGUAUUUUCCGUGUUUCAUCAUCGCUGGAUUUAUCAGCGUCUCCUAAACAUACGUUGACGUGUAGCUCGCGUCAAUUAUUAACAUCCUUCAACUUUCUGUUUUAACUUGUUGCUGACGUGUCAUGUUUAAUCCUCUUAUAUUUUUGUGUCAUAGACGCGGACGCUGCGUCCAGUAAAAGAACAGAGCUAUUCACGCCGACGCCGA
This 2644-nucleotide long non-coding RNA is filed under the name Brassica napus (rape). Its description in RNAcentral is "long non-coding RNA (BNAP_LNC008699)". The record is from RNAcentral. Lineage: Eukaryota; Viridiplantae; Streptophyta; Magnoliopsida; Brassicales; Brassicaceae.